UAGAAAGUGGUGUAGUGGAAGCACCAAAGAGUUUUGAUCUCUUUGAGGAUGGGUUCGAAUCCCUUCUCUCUAGAAUUGAGGGGACUUGAACCCCUAUCAGCCA
Molecule: transfer RNA, 103 nt
Filed under: Salvelinus curilus
Lineage: Eukaryota; Metazoa; Chordata; Actinopteri; Salmoniformes; Salmonidae
Description: tRNA-Gln
Rfam family: tRNA (bases 1-73)
About the family: Transfer RNA (tRNA) molecules are approximately 80 nucleotides in length. Their secondary structure includes four short double-helical elements and three loops (D, anti-codon, and T loops).
Source: RNAcentral